Long non-coding RNA from Mus musculus (house mouse), 8876 nucleotides. RefSeq annotates it as predicted gene, 53315. The record is from RefSeq and is a predicted model, not a curated record. The transcript has 2 exons. Lineage: Eukaryota; Metazoa; Chordata; Mammalia; Rodentia; Muridae.
GACGCUGCAACAGGAUCCUUCUGCACACGUUUAUUGGGAGAGCUUGAUUGUAGAGGCGAAAGACCAGAUCACACCUUGCGAUGGAGAACAUAAAGCCUUAUGUGGCUAUGAUAUAUGCAGAGAGAUAUACCAUCUGGCCUGGUAGCAGAGCAAAUGAUGCUAUUGAAAGUAAGAGGAAGAGAAGGAGGAGGAGGAAGAAGGAGGGAUGGAAAGGGUAGGGGAGAAAAAGAGAGAUACAAGACCUAUGAGGAAGCAAGAAGGAAAAUUUUAAUCAAUUACUUUUCUUUUGUAAUUUUAAUGCCUGCUUUUGUGUAUAACUGAGCCUCAGAUACAAUAACAAGUCCUCGUGUGGUGCUUACCUGAUUUGAAGACUGACCGUUCCUCAGAUAGUUUGGCCCUAAUUGCCAAUUGCUGCUUUGAUUUACCUGGAUAUUUGAUAAGGUAUAUUUCUGUGUUUCUUCAGAAGAGGGUCUUGAGGCAUCUUUUGCUUACUGUGAUAAUUGUUUUUAUGUAACCACUCAGAGAAUUAGAGCCAAAUUAAUAAGGAAGCUAAACAAAAUAACACUCUUUAACACACACACGCACACACACACACACACACACACAUGCCCUUUCUCCCCCACCUCCCCAGCCUUGAGCUCUCUGGAGAGAAGGCAGAUUUAUGCAGCAAGGCAUAAUUUUGCAACAUCUAGUUUGGUGUCAUCACAGGACACCCCCUUUCUCUCAUUCAUGUGCGUUUGAUUGGACAGCAUAACUUAGUUGUGAAUGACCCCCCUCCAUGUGCUUUGUAGCAAAUGUGGGGGUCUGCCAAGUCAAGUCUGUGUGCUCUUGGCAAGCUAGGGGCAACACCACUGGCUAAGUGACACAUCCCGCAGACAAGGAUCCUAAGGAGUCAUCGGUACUGUUUCCACAGAGGCACCCACGAUGCCAGGAUCCACAGCAAUGCAAGAAGCAGUUUCCAGCUUUCAGGAGUCGGUUUGUCAGGGUGGUCCCCUCUCAUCUUCUGCGCACGGACACAGGGUCUUCCUGAGCUCUGCAGAGAACACAGCUUCUCCCUGAAAGUGGGACUCAGGCAGAGAGUGAGCUCAUUCUGCAGACUGCCCAUUUGCAUGCACAGUGCAGCAGUCUUCAGAGAAGCAGCUCUUGGAGCCAUGGCAGAGCGCUCCUGUGUGGGGGUGCACAGUGUGCGUCUGUCUGUGUGUGUGUGUGUGUGUGUGUGUGUGUGUGCAUACUCAUGCAUACAUGCAAGAGCACGAGUGCAUAAUGUGUGCAUAUGUGUGUACAAUGUGAUUGUGUGUGCACAGUGAAUAUUCACAGCGUGCUUGCAUGUGUGUGUUCAUAGAGGGUGUGCAGUGUAUAUGCAUGUAGUGUGGUAUGUGUGUGUGUGUUGUAAGAAUAUUGCAUUUUGAGCUUUUUACCCACUUGGGAUGAAUGGGGUGAACUUUUUACCCACUUGGGGUUACCUGAUUAGGUUUAUGAAUUUGAGAUGCACGUGAUCUAGUUGGAGAGUUAAGAAUCAACGUAGAAAAUAAGGACCAACAGAACAGUUUAUGUCUAUAGAUAACUAGUAUAUACAGCAGGGAAGAAGGGAAUUCCUGUGUGGUCAUGUAGUCAGGAAACCUCUUCAAAGAGUAGAAAAUGGCAGUUAUUUAACAUCUGCACUCUUUGUAACUGGAUUGAAAUUUGGGUUAUGAGUGAGGUGCCCUGUAGAGCUGCGGAUGCUUUCUGUUAAUUGUUUCUGGGGGGAAAAGGUCUUCUGCCCCACCCUUCCCUUUCUUUCUCCUUCUAAAAUGACAUAUUUCUGUGUUGUCAUCAUCUGUCUCCUUCUUUCUGUCUCUCUUUCUCUCUUGGUCUCUCUCUGUCUCUCUUUCUGUCUCUGUCACUCUGUCUCUGUCAAUCUCUCUCUCCUUCCCUCCCUCUUCCUGUCUGUCUCCUUUCCUCGCCCUCUCCUUUGCCCUCUCCCUCAUUCUCACCCUCACCCUCUCCCAACUUUUUUGAGACAGCAUCUCAUUCUAUCUCAGACUCAUUUUGAACUCACUAUGUAGUGCAGACUGGACUCAAACUCAUGACAAUCCUUGGCCUUGAUUUGCCUUAAUCACAGGUGUGUCACCAGGUGGGCAUGGGGUCUGGAUGCAGGUCUUCACACUGCUGGCCCCUGAGACCCUCCCUAAGCUAGCCGGCCUCCCAGCCAUGAUCAGGCCAGCUACUAGCUUCCCCUGGCCACGCCAGGUGGCUUCUGUUAAGGGCGCUCAUCUGGAAGACUCCCUUUAGGGGCCUUCAUGGUCUGCUCAUCUCAGAGAAGUAACUCUGCCUCCUCCCUUGGGCUUCUGUUCAAAUAUUCCCAUCCCUCUUCAACCUCUCUCCUGGCCAGGACCCUGGUCACCUGGCACUAUCUUCCUGUGCACCACCCACCAUACUAUCUGACAAAUGUCCAGCACCUAUUAGGUGCUCAGUGAAUGUUUUGAGUAUUUUCUGUUUUAUGGCACAGUAGCUUUCACUGUCCCAGAACACACUCUGUAGACCAGGCUGGCCUCAAACUCAGAGAUCCUGUCUCUGUUGGAAUUAAAGGCAUGUACCACCAUUUCCAGCUUGACUGUCCAUGAAUAACCAAAUUAAAGAUCCAGAGUUACUCAUCCAUGAAUAUGGAGUGUAAUUGUAACAGUCUUUGGUUCAAUUUAAAGACUUUAGCAUAAAUAAGGAUUAUAUUUUAUUAUAAAUGGGAAGUAAAGAAUAUACUCAUAGUAUUUGGUGCUGCCAAUGGAGUCUAUUCACAAUUUGCCUAAAAUAAACAAAAAACAAUAAAAGAUAAUGCUGUGAAUGCAGGUUUGGUUUGGAGGUGCACACUUACAAUCCCAGUGUAGAGGAGGUAGAGACAAGACAGCAAGUUCUAUGGUAACAGUUUCUAGAGAGUGAGGCUUUUCACACACACACACACACACACACACACACACACACACACGACGAUAAUGCUAUAAAUCAAAAGAUUCCUUUUCUUCUGAAAAUUCAAUGAAGGCCAGGGAGAUGACUCAGUGGAUAAAUAGCAAGAGGCUCAAAGACCUGAGUUCAGAUCCCCAGAACCUAGGUAAAAAGUCAGGCAGGUGUGGCAGCUGCCUGUCGUUCCAUCACUGGGGAGGUAGAGCAGGAAAUUCCCUGGGAAGCUGGCUAGCUGAACCAGCUGGAACCAGCCAACUAGAGUUCGUUCAGCUGAGACGUGCUUCAACAGAUAAAGUAGCGAGCAACCAGGAAAGACACUGAUGUCAACUUCAGGCCUCUACAUGAACAUGCACAUACAUGCACAUUUAGCCACACUCACACGUGUGCUCACUGAUAGGCAAACAUGUACAUGCAUGAUGAAUCACAGCCAACAAACCUCAUAUAUCUUACUUUUAAACUUACAAGUAUGACACUGAGACAUUGCUGUGUGGAGUGUAUUUGUGUAUGUUAACAGUGCCUCUCUCCUGUGGGAGAGGAUGUAUCCAGCCUGCUGCUGGGUUCCUCGGCCUUCUGUGUUUGUGGACUGCUGUUAGAGACACUUGGGACCAUACACACAGCCUUUGUGACAGAAAUCUUCCACUUCAGUGCAGUUCCCAAGGCUCACUCACACUGUCGUCUGACCCAGUACCUUAUCCUUUUACAACAGAACGUGGCUUGGUGUGUACACAGAGCUCGUCGAUUCACCUCGGCUCUGCAGCCAAUGUGAGAGCUAGGCUACCGGAGACAUUCGCAUGCAGGUAGCAGCUUCAGGUGUGAGUGUAGGAGUGAAAGUGUGUCUCACUCAGACUGUUGCUUAUAGCAGUAGCUCACUUUUAAAAAUCACUUUUUGGGGAGGAGUACAGAUUGAACACAUGCCAGGCAACCAGACCACAGUCAUUCGCCAACCACUCCAUCGUCAUGCAGUAACUACCCCACUGUCACGUGGCAAUCAGCCUGCCGUCAUGAGGCAACCAGCCCACCAGCAUGCACUUCCUCAGUCCUUUUUGUGUUUAUUUUCAUUUUUAAUUUCGAGGCUGCUACGCUGAGUGCUCAGGUUGGCCUUGAACUUGCUCUGUAUUAAGGUUUCGAAACAGGGUCUCCCUUUGCAGUCCAGCUUAGCCUUGAACUCUUGAAAGUCCUGGCUCAGCUUCUGAGGUGCUGUGGUAACAGUAUACCCUGACACCCCAAGCACUUACACUUUUAUUAAAUGAAUAUUGCAUGACACUCAACUGCAGAGUUCCUGGGAAAGGGACAUGCGUAUAAUAGACCACCUAGAAAAUUAAACAAAGCCUUCCUAAAUGUGGUGUGUACAUUUUUACAGGUGCAUGGUCACUGUCUAUAGUGUUGAUUCACAAUAAUUCCUUUCGGUUCCCUUCUGUUCCUUGACUGCACUCACCUGUAAUUCCUCCCCUCCCCCUCCCACUAACUCCUUCCCUUCCUCCUCCCCUCCCUCUCCCCCUCCCACUGGGCUCUUUCCUUAUCCCUUUCCCUCUCCCUCCCACUGAUCCCUCUCCUUCCCCCUCCCUCUGCUUUCUCUUACCCUCCCCUCCCCCACCCACUGACCCCUCUCCUUCCCCCUCCACUCCCCUCUCCCCCUUCCUCUGGCCCCUCUCCUUCCCCCUCCUUCCUUCUGCUUUCAUAUCAUGUCUCCAUACUUCAUUUUAUGUUUCUAUGUAAAAUCCAGGACCCACAAGUAAGAGAAAAUACAUGAUAUUUGUCUUUCUGGGCUUGGCUAAUCUUUUUUUAAUAAUUUGAUGCUGGCAAGAUGGCUCCAUGGGUAAAGGCGCUUGCUGAGAAAGCCGGCUGACCUGAGCUCAGUCCUGGAACCAUGUAGACCUGGGAGGAGAGAACUGACUCCACAUGUGUGCCACAACACUUGUGCCCUUGCCCAAACAAUAAUAAAGAAGUGAUUUAUUAAUUAACAAUUUAUCAUUAUUAUUAAAAUUAAAUUUUAAUUUUGAAUCGACAGUUUUAACCAUCAGUUCAAGAUAGCCUAUAGUCACUGGAAAGGAAUCUCAAUUUUGAAGGGUUGUUCAGAUCAGCUUGGCCUGUGGGCAUAUCUGUAGGGGGUUGUCCUGAUUGUUAAUAGAUGUAAGAGGACCUAGUCCACUGUGGGUGGCACCAUUCCCUGGGCAGAUGGUCCUGGGCUGUGAAAGGAAGCCAGCUAAGCAUCAUUCCUUCAUGGUUUCUGCUUUAGGACCCUGCUUGAAUUCCUUCUGUGACAUCUCUAAUGAUGGGCCGUAACCUGUGAGCGAAAAUAAACCCUUUCCUUCCCUAAGUUGCUUUUGGUCAUGGUGUUUAUCAGUAACAGAGAGGACCUAAGAACACAACGUGUUCCAGGCUGUGUUCCAGGCUGUUCAUCUAUCCAAAUAAAGCUACAUGGUGACCCCAGCUUCUAAUUUACUUCAUGCUGUGUUUAGGAAAAGUUAUCUCAGGAGACUUAGCCAGAUUUAUCUGCUACACCCCAGGGAGUGUCUUAUCAGCCAGUCAUCGAAUACUUUGGAAAGCUACCCAGGACAGGGAAGUCUCUAGAUCCUGUGAGGCAUCACCUGGCAACCAUAAACAAAACAGCCAGAGGAGAGCCUAUAGCCUCAAAGCAUGUCUACUAUUCAGUCAUUUUAAGUGUUGAUAGCUAGACAGUGGAGCAGUGAUCAAGGCAGUCACUCUCUUGCCGUGAGGACCUUGAGGAAAGCUCCUCUGUACCUUUCGUGGUCCGUCCUUGUGCCCAUCCCAGUUCCAGCUAAUCACUGUCUUUCUGAGGGUGUCAUAUUGUUCAUGUGUCUGGCAUCUUUCACUGAGCAUAACAUCUUUGGAGGCCACUUCAGGUUCUUGUAUAUGUUAUGAUUUUCUCAUAUUCUGGCUGAGUACUAUUCCAGUGUUUGGAAACACCAGUAUAUCUGAUAUUUUAAAUUUGGGCCAUUUCUUUUGCUUUCUCUUCUUCCGGCUAUUAUAACUAAGCUGACUAACAUCUGAGUACAGAGCUCCAUAGGAUGUGCUUCUUUUGGGUCGACACUUUGAAUGGGAUAACUGUAUCAUGGAAGCAGAAGUUAACCUUUAAAGAGACUACCAAGAUGGUUUCCAAGGAGCCCAUGUCACCAGUGCACCGGAUCCAACCGUUCACAUCUUUACCAGCACAUGGCUUUGGCAUUUGCGUUCAUUUUGGCUAUUGUGGUUUCAGUAACAUUCUCUAAUGACCAGGGCCACUGGAUAUUAUCCCCCCUCUCGUGUGUGUGUUGAAAGGCAUAUGUCACAGCAUGUGUGUAGAGGUCAGAAGAGAAUUUGUGGGAGUUGUUUUCCCUUUCUACCAAGUGGCUCAGGAUUUAACCCAGGUCAUCAGGCUGCGAGGUAAAGGCCUUUACCUGACAAGCCACUUUGCCAGUCCUGAGCUUGUGUGUCUUGAUACUGGUUUUUGUUAUUUUUAAAUUAUUUAUAGGUGUGCAUGUGUGCAUGAGGGGAUGUGCAUGUGUGUGCAGGCACCCUUGGAGGCCAGAGUGUGGGGUGCCGAGGAGCCUGAGUUACAGGUGGUUGACUGCAACCUGUCGCAGGUGCUGGGGACUGAACGUGGGUCCUCUGGAAAAGCAGCAGAUGCUCUGAGCUACUGUGCCACCUCUCCACGUCUUCUCAGUGUCUUUAAAAUGCUUUUUGGCUUUCUAUAUCUUGUGUGUGUGAAGAAUGGAUGUCCAAAUCUUAGUAGAUUUUGUCUUUUAUUGAAUUAGAAUAGUACUGUGUAUAUUAUUCAUAGGUGCAGAAAACCUAUGAAAUAUGUGCUUUAUUAUUUUUUUUGCUGUUUUGUCAAGAAAAUAUUCAAGUUCUUUAUAGUUUUAAAUUUAAAAAAUGAAGAACAUAUUCUUGUCCAAAUAAAAUGGUACAUGCUUCAGGGACAGUUUACAAUCAUGGAAGGGUGAGAAGAGACAUAAAGAGAAAAUUCAGAGAUUAAAAAAAGAGAAAUUCAGGGGACAGAGUGAUCUAAUAUUGCAGAAGGAAGAAUCUGACUAGGAAAGAUGGAGACAGAGAGGUAUGGACAGAACAGGAGCCUGAGAAGCAGAGCAGGAGGAAAAGGACAAAAGUUAAAGCUGGGGCUGGGAAACAUGAAGUUCCCCCAUGGUCCCUUGCUCUCCUUACACUGUUCACUGCAUGUGCAGCUCGCCUCAGCUGCUCUCCUCUCCUCAGCUGCUCUCCUUCUCUCAGCUGCUCUCCUCCUCUCAGCUGCUCUCCUCUCCUCAGCUGCUCUCCUUCUCUCAGCUGCUCUCCUCCUCUCAGCUGUCCUCUCCUCUGCUCAGCUGUCCUCUCCUUCCCUCAGCUGCUCUCCUCCUCUCGGCUGCUCUCCUCCCCUUAGCUGCUGUUCUCCUCCCAGUUGCUCUCCUCCUCUCAGCUGCUCUCCUCUCCUCAGCAAUCCUCCCCUCCCCUCUGUUGUCCUCUCCUCCCCUCAGCUGCUCUCCUCCUCUCAGCUGCUCUCUUCAGCUGUCCUCUUCUUCCCUCAACUGUCCUCUCCUCUCUUCACCUGCUCUCUUAUCUUCAGCUGUUCUCUCCUUACCUGCUCACUCCUCAGCUUCUCUUUCUCCUCAGCUGCUCUUUCUUCAGCUUCCCACUCCUUAGGACUAGCCUGCUUUGCAGAAGUCCCUCCUUCCCACCCACAUGCCAUUACUGUUCCCCACCAACACACAAAACAGCCGGUUGCAUUUGUUCUGUCUUUAGCACACAAAGACACAGCUGGUGAUGUUACUGGUGUGGGUUUGAAUCUUAGCUGUACCACUAUCCACUUAGCUGUGGCAGGGCAGACUUUGAUCUUUAAAAUGACAGCAGCUAUGACAUCUUCUAAAACAUCUCCAUAGAUUAAAGAGUUGAUGCCGAGAUUUUUAUUGGGCUUAGCACACAGUGCUUAGUCAUGAGCUGUCACAGAAGCUGUUGGGUGUUGGGGGAGGGCGGUUUUGACUAUGCCUUCCAUCUUUGGCUCUCUGCUCAUCUAGUCUGGAAGCUCAUCACCCUGCCUUAGAGACCCAUGACACAAACACAACUGUAUUUGCUCAUCUGCAAGGCAAAGUUGGGACUAAUAAUAAUGAGUAGUGGCAUUACCUGAGCUGUGAGCAUUUUAACCUCGUGCCGAAACACUGCGUGGCAGAAAAAGCUUCCUGGUUCCGGAACGCUGACAACUCAAGGCAAUUGGGUUUAGUAAAUACGACGGAGGUGGGUGAGCUGUGCCAUUCUCCCCUCAACCCCUCAGAACUCUGGCUGACACAGGACCCCUUCUGCCCGGCCCUUGUCUGUCCUUGCCUCAGCACGACGAGUGAAAGUUUACGUCUGUGUGAUUCACAGCUUUUGCUUUUUCCAGUUGUUGGCAAGGUUCCCUCACACUAAACUAAGUUUUGCUUUGAUCCUGGAUCAAUAUGGGGAAAUAAAUUCUCUCUCUCUCUGCUUUAAACCUGUAGCUGCUCAUUUCUGUGAAACGUGUUUAUGAACCUCUCUCCAUCUCCUCUCUAUAAUGCAACGUUUUCUGGUUUUUCCUGCAUUUCUCCAGAUACCCAUUGUCCUUGUGUCCUGACAUCUGCAGCCCCAGUGCAAGCCCCUUUCUUGAGAAGCCACUUAAAACGUGGCUCACAGAACGGUAUCCCUUUCCCUUCUGUGAGGUCCCAUUCAUUCCAGCUCUCAAUGGUGGUCUUGGCUUUUCAGCAACUACAGUACUGUGUCUGUGAAUUAUACUUGGGACGAUCAUACACAUGCCAUUCACACUCGGCCACUGGGGAAGGAGAAGGGGCAAGGUUUACCACCAGGCGUGGGCAGCGGAGCAAAGCAGUGACAUCUUAGGCUUACACUGGUGACAUCUUGGAUAUACAGGGAAGUAUGAUCGAUCACUAUAUUAGUUGUCUAUUGUUGAGAUACAAUACCCCAGACUCCAAACUUAUAAA